UGGUUCUGGCAUCGAUGAAGAACGCAGCGAAAUGCGAUAAGUAAUGUGAAUUGCAGAAUUCAGUGAAUCAUCGAAUCUUUGAACGCACAUUGCGCCCGCCAGUAUUCUGGCGGGCAUGCCUGUCCGAGCGUCAUUUCAACCCUCAAGCCCCCGUUGCUUGGCGUUGGGAGCCCCUUGCGGUCACCCGCAACUCCCCAAAGUUAGCUGGCAGGGCCGGGUCCGCGACCCCGAGCGUAGUAGCACCUAUCUCGCUCCGGCGGUCGCCCCGGCUUCCUCAACCUCGCCACUAAACCCCCCAAAAUUCUUCUAUGGUUGACCUCGGAUCAGGUAGGAAUACCCGCUGA
This 344-nucleotide unclassified non-coding RNA is filed under the name uncultured fungus. RNAcentral describes it as "partial contains 5.8S ribosomal RNA and internal transcribed spacer 2". The stretch from base 1 to 133 matches the Rfam family "5.8S ribosomal RNA", at positions 22 to 154 of the family's 154-position model. Lineage: Eukaryota; Fungi. The record is from RNAcentral.